This 896-nucleotide ribosomal RNA is filed under the name Polykrikos lebourae. Its description in RNAcentral is "eukaryotic LSU rRNA". It matches the Rfam family "Eukaryotic large subunit ribosomal RNA", at positions 48 to 947 of the family's 3401-position model. Lineage: Eukaryota; Dinophyceae; Gymnodiniales; Gymnodiniaceae. The record is from RNAcentral.
AAGGCGAGGACAAGAAACUGAACACGAUUCCCUCAGUAAUGGCGACUGAACAGGGAUAUGCUCACUGUGGAAAUCGAGGCACCUCGUCUCGAAUUGUAAUCUCAAGAUGCAUUGCCAACGGCGGCGCAGGAGUAAGCCUCUUGGAAAAGAGCACCGUUGAGGGUGAAAGUCCCGUCUGUCUCUUGCAGUCCGUUGUGUACGGCGUGCGCUCUGCGAGUCGCGUUCCUCGGGAUUGGAGCGCAAACUGGGUGGUAAAUUUCAUCUCAAGCUAAACAUAGGUUCGAGACCGAUAGAAAACAAGUACCAUGAGGGAAAGAUGAAAAGGACUUUGAAAAGAGAGUUAAAAGUGCCUGAACUUGCUGCAAGGAAAGCGGAUGGAACCAGUCUUGCAAGGCGAGAUUGUCUGGAGGGCGGAUGUACCUGCUACUUCGUGGCGAAAGCGCGGGGAAGUAGGCUGCCUGUGCCUUCUUGAUGCUUCUUGUCUUCGAUGUUACCGUCUGAUUGGCACUGGGCUUGACUGGGGUUUCAUGGGCUCACUCCCCUGGGCGUGCGAAUGGUCCCUAUGGAACCCAUUGCCAUUCGGAUCGGCGACGAAAUGGUUUCCUUCGACCCGUCUUGAAACACGGACCAAGGAGUCUAACAAAUGUGCGAGUUACUAGGAGGAAAAACCUAGGGGGCCCAAUGAAAGUGAUGACUGCGACAUUUGCAGCAGCAGCCGACCGAUCGAUUGGGAGAGGUUUGAGCAUGAGCAUUUUUGUUAGGACCCGAAAGAUGGUGAACUAUGCCUGAGAAGGGCGAAGUCUGGGGAAACUCAGAUGGAGGCUCGUAGCGAUACUGACGUGCAAAUCGUUCGUCAUACUUGGGUAUAGGGGCGAAAGACUAAUCGAACCAUCUAG